CAGUAGCCACGGUAAUACAGAGGGUGCGAGCGUUAAUCGGAUUUUCUGGGCGUAAAGCGUGCGUAGGCGGCUUCUUAAGUCGGAUGUGAAAUCCCUGAGCUUAACUUAGGAAUUGCAUUCGAUACUGGGAAGCUAGAGUAUGGGAGAGGAUGGUAGAAUUCCAGGUGUAGCGGUGAAAUGCGUAGAGAUCUGGAGGAAUACCGAUGGCGAAGGCAGCCAUCUGGCCUAAUACUGACGCUGAGGUACGAAAGCAUGGGGAGCAAACAGGAUUAGAUACCCCUGUAGUCCCUGUCUCUUAUAC
Molecule: ribosomal RNA, 301 nt
Filed under: uncultured bacterium
Lineage: Bacteria
Description: partial 16S ribosomal RNA
Rfam family: Bacterial small subunit ribosomal RNA
Source: RNAcentral